This 499-nucleotide ribosomal RNA is filed under the name uncultured bacterium. Its description in RNAcentral is "partial 16S ribosomal RNA". It matches the Rfam family "Bacterial small subunit ribosomal RNA", at positions 28 to 507 of the family's 1533-position model. The record is from RNAcentral.
GACGAGCGCUGGCGGCGUGCCUAAUACAUGCAAGUCGAGCGAAGUUUUUCUGGUGCUUGCACUAGAAAAACUUAGCGGCGCACGGGUGAGUAACACGUAAAGAACCUGCCUCAUAGACUGGGACAACUAUUGGAAACGAUAGCUAAUACCGGAUAACAGUAUUUCUCGCAUGAGAGAUAUUUAAAAGUUGGUUAUGCUAACACUAUGAGAUGGCUUUGCGGUGCAUUAGCUAGUUGGUGGGGUAAAGGCCCACCAAGGCGACGAUGCAUAGCCGACCUGAGAGGGUGAUCGGCCACACUGGGACUGAGACACGGCCCAGACUCCUACGGGAGGCAGCAGUAGGGAAUCUUCCGCAAUGGGCGAAAGCCUGACGGAGCAACGCCGCGUGAGUGAAGAAGGAUUUCGGUUCGUAAAGCUCUGUUGUUAGGGAAGAAUGGAUAUGUAGUAACUAUACAUGUAAGAGACGGUACCUAACCAGAAAGCCACGGCUAACUACGUG